AAACAAGCAAAAGAAAAACGUAAAAACAAGCAAAAGAAAAAAAAUGUAAAAGCAAGCUCACGUCGUUCAUGCUUCUUCCUCUUCUCCUUCCUCGAAUUGUUUCGAAAAACGGAGACCCAGAAUAUAAAGUAUUACGAAAAAUAGGGAUCAUGGUGUAAUUUCUCAAUCUAAGUCGCUCCUCAGUUUCGUGUUUUGCGUGUUGCUGAUUUGCAAUGUUUGAGGGAAGCUCAGUGCAACGUUUGAGGGAAGCUCAGGGGAAUUUGUAAGGUUUGAUCUCUAAUUUCUCUCAUCUCUCAUGGGAAUUUGUAAGGUUCUAAUUCUCCAACCCUUCUUUUCAAUGUCUUUCCUUUGUGGUUUUGGUCAUGAGAUCUGAGUUGUUGGAUGACGAGUGUACGACUCUGUAUUGAAGAAUUUUGUUGGUGAUCCCUUUAUUAAAUUGGAUUUUUUGGGCUUCCGGUAGCGUGAUUUUGAAUAAGCUUAUGCGAUUUCGUUCACUUCAAUCACUUUCCGUUCUAUAGCAUCAAUCUUUGGAGCAGUAUACAUAUUCUCAUUCGUCUUUUACGGCCAACAAACCCAGCUCCCUUGACUGGAUGGAGACAAUUCCUGUAGCUGGUAAAACUCUUCCUACUUUGUCUGGAUCUUUUUUUGUGCUAAUCAUCUCAAAAUUCUUUUACCAAACGAAGAGAAUUUGGGGUUUAGGGAUUUUUAAAAAACGAUGAAUUAGUGUUUACUUCUCUAUUUGAGAUGAAUUAUUUGCAUAUUUAUUCUAAAUAUGCUUUUGACAAAUUCCCUGCUUAUAAGCUAUUAAGUCCUGCCAGGUUGGGGAUCUUCCAUGAUUAGCGCAUGGAAUAAAGUUUUAGCUCCAACAUACCUCAAGAUGACAUAGUUGAUCUAAUAUUCAUAUUUGCAACUUUGUUACAGUGAGGCACAAAAAGCCAGGGUAAUGGAUCAAAUAGAGAAGAUUCAUCAGGAUAUGGAGGAGCUUCCAUGCACUGGAAACACUGUUUUAGUCUUCUGAUACUCUAUUAUCCUAAUUGAAAUUCAGGUUUUGCAGCAGUGGAAAAUGAAGGUUUGGUGAUAGAGGGACUUUUACUAUAUGAAGUGGUAUAGGCCCUGUUGUUAUAAAUGGGGGUAUCUUCUGGAUGUAAUCGACUUGGUGUCCAGUAGAAGAUUUAUAAUUGAGACCAAAAAGGGUUAAGAUUGAUGCAAAUGAAAUUAAUGGGGCAAGAUUUACGGUGAAUUUUUCGGGCCUUCAUGCACGUGUCUUUCAUCAUGAAUUUGACCAUUUACAGGCAUUGGAUUGUUCAAGAUAGGCCUGAAGUUGUUGCUUAAUUUCUGACCUUAGGAUGCAGGAUGUCUCUCUUUUAACGUUUUGCUGAAGUUAUGGGUUGAAUUUAGUUCUCAUUAUCUCAGGUGGGACAGAGGUGCAUGAGGUGUGGCAAUCUUUUGGUUUUGGCUCUAUUCUUGAGAAAAUAGCUACAAUGAAAGCAAGUUUGUGGGAUUUUACAUUCUAUAUGCUACAUUGUUACCAUUUUUAUUCACUCCAUUGUUUGCCAUUUGCAAUUUCUUAAAUGUUUUGAUACGAAUGGUUGGUCACAUGCACUUUCCUCUCGGUGGAAUAUUUAUAAUAUUGGUGAGUAUGGUAGGCGAAUGGUAA
Long non-coding RNA from Tripterygium wilfordii, 1657 nucleotides. RefSeq lists it as uncharacterized. Lineage: Eukaryota; Viridiplantae; Streptophyta; Magnoliopsida; Celastrales; Celastraceae. The transcript has 5 exons. The record is from RefSeq and is a predicted model, not a curated record.